CAUCAUGGGCGGCCCGUGCGGGGAGCGCUCGCGCUCGCCGGUGCCUUGGUUCCGGUAUGCCAACCCGCACGGUGCCCGCCCGCCCCG
Molecule: non-coding RNA, 87 nt
Filed under: Sulfuritortus calidifontis
Lineage: Bacteria; Pseudomonadati; Pseudomonadota; Betaproteobacteria; Nitrosomonadales; Thiobacillaceae
Source: RNAcentral